RNAcentral lists this ribosomal RNA (256 nucleotides) under uncultured bacterium. Its description in RNAcentral is "partial 16S ribosomal RNA". It matches the Rfam family "Bacterial small subunit ribosomal RNA", at positions 99 to 354 of the family's 1533-position model. The record is from RNAcentral.
CGGACGGGUGAGUAACGCGUGAGGAACCUGCCUCAGAGUGGGGGAGUAACACACCGAAAGGUGUGCUAAUACCGCAUAACAUAUGGGAGGGGCAUCCCUUUCAUAUCAAAGAUUUAUUGCUCUGAGAUGGCCUCGCGUCCAAUUAGCUAGUUGGCGGGGUAACGGCCCACCAAGGCGACGAUUGGUAGCCGGACUGAGAGGUUGAACGGCCACAUUGGGACUGAGACACGGCCCAGACUCCUACGGGAGGCAGCAG